UCAAGGUUAUUCAUUUUCAUUGUUAUAACUGUGAAAUUAUUAAAAAAAAAAUUGACAAGUUCCUUACCUCUGCAUUCUAGAGUUGUUAAUUAAACUGUUAAAGGAAAUUUUAUUUGAGAUCAGUAAACACGUUGUGGCUGUAGUUUAGUGGUAAGAAUUCCACGUUGUGGCCGUGGAGACCUGGGCUCGAAUCCCAGCAGCCACAUUUAUUUUUUAAUGCUUGUAUUAUUUACUGUUAAACAACCCUAAGUUGUAUUGUGGGCUUAGGAAGUUAGGCCCCUCAAUUUUUUGGGUCAGAUCCAUUGGCCCAUCAUUGAUUAGAGCAAUUCUUCAUUAACUCCGAAAACAACGAUAUCUUUUUUCUUUUUCUUUUUUGGAUGCGAAACAAGUAACGAUAUCUUGAUCGACCGUUAUCCCUAUGUACAUAGACUUGAACGUUCACUAGCUAGUGCCUAGUUGGAUAGAAUCCAUAUCCGAUUCCCUAGGAUCCAUAACCUCUCACAUUGUUGAUUGUUCUUCUUGGUUUCACAGAUGGCUGGACCAAAAUGGGAGGAUUUGCAAACGGACUGAUUGGUGAAUAUUCUUACAAUAGUGGGCACGGAGUCAUUGCUAUAUGACAUUCCCUUUGUGUGCAAGUCAUGGUAUAGAGCGAGCCUUGAUCCUUCAUGCUGGAAAAUUAUUAAUUUUCAAGAAUUUGUUCAUCGGCCGCCUUUAACAAAUGAAUAUUUGAAGUUGAUAAUCAAUCGUAGUCGAGGAAAUGCUACUUCAGUCAUGCCCCCUACCUCGUGCCCAGAUGAGGUGUUAAGAUAUUUAGCAGACGAGUGCCCUGAGUUGAAGGCUCUAUAUUUGCCAUCUGUGAUGGGGAAGAAUUCUUCAUUUGUUCUGUUAGAAGUCAUAAGUAAGUGGAAAAAUCUGGAGCUGUUGAAACUUGGAAGUCCUUAUAGCGUUCACAUGGAAAAGAUACUGGAAAAGAUACUUGAAGAAAUCAGUCUUCACUGCAAGAAUUUCUGUCAUUUAGAGAUUGUUAUUAUUGAACUUUUUUGGAGAGAAGUAGUGUCAGCCAUUGUCACCUUUCUGCCAAACAUAAAGUACUUAUAUCUGAGAGAUGGAUUCAUUGAUCAAGAGAGUUUAGAGAUAAUUCUGCAGGGCUGCAAGGAGCUUUGUGCAUUUGUUCUUUAUGGUUUAAAACUUUAAAUAGGAUGAACAAUUACUGGAACUUGCUUCACACAGAUCAGUGUCAUUUGGGGUUGAUGGAGGGAGCUUGUGGUUGUCUAAUGACAAAUUGAGGAUGCUAAGGAGGGCAAAGUUGUUGUUUGAGUUGAGGCUUCUCUCUUGUCGAAUGAAUUUGUU
This is an RNA transcript of Quercus lobata, 1350 nucleotides long. RefSeq lists it as uncharacterized. NCBI's taxonomy places the organism in Eukaryota, Viridiplantae, Streptophyta, Magnoliopsida, Fagales, Fagaceae. The record is from RefSeq and is a predicted model, not a curated record. The transcript has 3 exons.